UGGGGAAUCUUAGACAAUGGGGGAAACCCUGAUCUAGCCAUGCCGCGUGAGUGAUGAAGGCCCUAGGGUCGUAAAGCUCUUUCGCCAGGGAUGAUAAUGACAGUACCUGGUAAAGAAACCCCGGCUAACUCCGUGCCAGCAGCCGCGGUAAUACGGAGGGGGUUAGCGUUGUUCGGAAUUACUGGGCGUAAAGCGCGCGUAGGCGGACUAUUAAGUCAGGGGUGAAAUCCCGGGGCUCAACCCCGGAACUGCCUUUGAUACUGGUAGUCUAGAGUUCGAGAGAGGUGAGUGGAACUCCGAGUGUAGAGGUGAAAUUCGUAGAUAUUCGGAAGAACACCAGUGGCGAAGGCGGCUCACUGGCUCGAUACUGACGCUGAGGUGCGAAAGUGUGGGGAGCAAACAGGAUUAGAUACCCCCGUAGUCC
Molecule: ribosomal RNA, 424 nt
Filed under: uncultured prokaryote
Description: bacterial SSU rRNA
Rfam family: Bacterial small subunit ribosomal RNA
Source: RNAcentral